RNAcentral lists this ribosomal RNA (435 nucleotides) under uncultured Lachnospiraceae bacterium. Its description in RNAcentral is "partial 16S ribosomal RNA". It matches the Rfam family "Bacterial small subunit ribosomal RNA", at positions 341 to 792 of the family's 1533-position model. Lineage: Bacteria; Bacillati; Bacillota; Clostridia; Lachnospirales; Lachnospiraceae. The record is from RNAcentral.
ACGGGAGGCAGCAGUGGGGAAUAUUGGACAAUGGGGGCAACCCUGAUCCAGCGACGCCGCGUGAGUGAAGAAGUAUUUCGGUAUGUAAAGCUCUAUCAGUAGGGAAGAAAAAUGACAGUACCUAACUAAGAAGCCCCGGCUAACUACGUGCCAGCAGCCGCGGUAAUACGUAUGGAGCAAGCGUUAUCCGGAUUUACUGGGUGUAAAGGGAGCGUAGACGGAACAGCAAGUCUGAUGUGAAAGGCAGGGGCUCAACUCCUGGACUGCAUUGGAAACUGCUGAUCUUGAGUGCCGGAGAGGUAAGCGGAAUUCCUAGUGUAGCGGUGAAAUGCGUAGAUAUUAGGAGGAACACCAGUGGCGAAGGCGGCUUACUGGACGGUAACUGACGUUGAGGCUCGAAAGCGUGGGGAGCAAACAGGAUUAGAUACCCUGGUA